CCUACGGGAGGCAGCAGUCGGGAAUAUUGCGCAAUGGAGGAAACUCUGACGCAGUGACGCCGCGUAUAGGAAGAAGUUUUUCGGAAUGUAAACUAUUGUCGGUCGGGAAGAGAAAGGACAGUACCUUAGGAGGAAGCUCCGGCUAACUACGGGCCAGCAGCCGGGGUCAUAAGUAGGGAGCGAGCGUUAUCCGGAAUUAUUGGGUGUAAAGGGUGCGUAGGCGGGAAAACAAGUUAGUUGUGAAAUCCCUCGGCCUAAAUGAGGAACUGCAACUAAAACUAUUUUUCUCGAGUGCAGGAGAGGUAAGUGGAAUUCCGAGUGUAGCGGUGAAAUGCGUAGAUAUUAGGAGGAACACCAGUGGCGAAGGCGACUUACCGGACUGUAACUGACGUUGAGGCACGAAAGUGUGGGGAGCGAACAGGAUUAGAUACCCUAGUAGUC
RNAcentral lists this ribosomal RNA (441 nucleotides) under uncultured bacterium. RNAcentral's name for it is "partial 16S ribosomal RNA". It matches the Rfam family "Bacterial small subunit ribosomal RNA", at positions 338 to 795 of the family's 1533-position model. The record is from RNAcentral.